ACUCCGAUAUCGUCAGAGGCACUUAAGAGUGACAACUGACAAAGACGCUCCUGAUACAAUGGUUAUGGGGCCUGCAAGUUUAGCACCAAUUUCGGAAGUGAUGGAAGCAUUAGCUGAGCCGAUGAAGCUACCAAAGAGGGGGAGAAUUCAGAGGAGAAUGUUUCCGACACUAGGGAUAAUGCUACCAUGCUAGCCCUUUAGUGCAAUGGUCUGAUGACUGAUCCAACUCAACCCUAAUGUGUGGAGAAUCCAAAAUGAGCUCAAUAUUUUUGGCCAGUGAGUUUGGGGCCCCUUUCUACCCGUGAGUUUCUAUGGCCAAUUUCUAGGCCUAUCUGCAUGGUGUCGUCAGCGGAGGUGGUGGCGGUCCUUGUGGGGACAGGACGCUCGCCGAGAUCAGGCUCAACCACAUCACCAUCCACGCCAACCCGCUCGUCCUCUGAACUCGCUCAUGUCCCGCCUGCCUACCUGGCUCGGCUCAUCCACUAGGAUCUGAGUGCAAAAUCAACCUUGUGAAUUCGGAUGAGGUGCACCGGUGUUCAGCACUUUGCGCUACUCUUGAUUGUCCUCUCCUACAGUUCUGGUUCUAGAUACCACUUGCAUAGGUUGUAUCCUAAAGACUAUAGUUCUGCAUUGAUAUAAAAAGCUUGAUUACUUGCUUCGGAUGAUUCACACGAUCACAACCAAGACGACACCUUACCUAGAGAUUGUGAUCAAAGUGCAGCAUAAACAGAGCACUGCUGUCCUGUCGACAUAUACAUAGCACUGCUAGUAGCUAAGGGUUCUCGUGAUCAGGGUUUCUGAUGAUUUGGUGAUACAUAUAGUCUGAUGGAAACGAAACAAUGGGCAUGAAAAUGAGGACAUGAUGUUGUAAGCCUCGAACCGACUAGCAUGGAUAUCUGGUUUCAAGUACAAACUAUCACUGACCACUUAUGAGCGACGAGAACUUUCCGAUGAACUCCAGUUUUUUAAUAGAAAGUAUAUGUCGUGGUUUCGGAAACCGGGGAGACAAUAGAUUUGAGUUUGGUGGGGAAUACAGGCACGGACUCACACCGAAUGGUGAAUCACGAGCAUCCAGGCUAAGGAGCUGAGACAUAGGGAGUUAUACUGGUUCACGCUAGGGCCCUAGUCCAAUAUAGUGUUGAUCGAUGUAUUGCUUAGGAGCGUGUUACAACAAGUGUGCUUGUGUGGAGAAAGAAUGUUGUCCAGCACUUUUAUAGCUAAAGGGUGGACUUUACAGUUGGGACAUAUAUUCUACUCGGAGGUACUUGGCUUGUUGCCCCUAGGUUGCUCUAGCCCUCCUUGUGUCGU
Molecule: long non-coding RNA, 1308 nt
Organism: Zea mays
Lineage: Eukaryota; Viridiplantae; Streptophyta; Magnoliopsida; Poales; Poaceae
Exons: 4
Source: RefSeq, a predicted model, not a curated record